UGCAGUCGACGGCAGCACGGACUUCGGUCUGGUGGCGAGUGGCGAACGGGUGAGUAAUGUAUCGGAACGUGCCCAGUAGCGGGGGAUAACUACGCGAAAGCGUAGCUAAUACCGCAUACGCCCUACGGGGGAAAGCAGGGGAUCGUAAGACCUUGCACUAUUGGAGCGGCCGAUAUCGGAUUAGCUAGUUGGUGGGGUAACGGCUCACCAAGGCGACGAUCCGUAGCUGGUUUGAGAGGACGACCAGCCACACUGGGACUGAGACACGGCCCAGACUCCUACGGGAGGCAGCAGUGGGGAAUUUUGGACAAUGGGGGAAACCCUGAUCCAGCCAUCCCGCGUGUGCGAUGAAGGCCUUCGGGUUGUAAAGCACUUUUGGCAGGAAAGAAACGUCGCGGGUUAAUACCCCGCGGAACUGACGGUACCUGCAGAAUAAGCACCGGCUAACUACGUGCCAGCAGCCGCGGUAAUACGUAGGGUGCAAGCGUUAAUCGGAAUUACUGGGCGUAAAGCGUGCGCAGGCGGUUCGGAAAGAAAGAUGUGAAAUCCCAGAGCUUAACUUUGGAACUGCAUUUUUAACUACCGGGCUAGAGUGUGUCAGAGGGAGGUGGAAUUCCGCGUGUAGCAGUGAAAUGCGUAGAUAUGCGGAGGAACACCGAUGGCGAAGGCAGCCUCCUGGGAUAACACUGACGCUCAUGCA
Molecule: ribosomal RNA, 700 nt
Filed under: Bacillota bacterium
Lineage: Bacteria; Bacillati; Bacillota
Description: bacterial SSU rRNA
Rfam family: Bacterial small subunit ribosomal RNA
Source: RNAcentral